This is a non-coding RNA of Solanum lycopersicum (tomato), 1292 nucleotides long. The record is from RefSeq and is a predicted model, not a curated record. NCBI's taxonomy places the organism in Eukaryota, Viridiplantae, Streptophyta, Magnoliopsida, Solanales, Solanaceae.
UCUUUUCCACCCGUUAUUACGAUUUCUCUUUUGCUUUCUGUAUUAAUUUUCUGUAUUUUUACUAAAUUCUGCAAAGAAUAAUUUGGUUUGUUAUAAUUACUUUGAAUUGUUUUAUGCAUGUAAUUUCAUUUGUUAUAAUUAUUUUGAAUUGUCUUAUGCAUGAGUAAGAAAGCGAAAGUAAACAUAUAAUUUUAUAUACCAUAUUCAGGAUAGAUAACAGUUCUACAAAUGUCAGACAAAAGUAAUAAAAAUCAUCUGAAUUCUGAAAAAGCUCAUGCUGAUAAAAAGGCUAGACGGCGUGAAUUAUAUAAACUGGCACAAUCUAAUAAGAAAGAUGCCUAUCUAGCUGGCAGAUGGGUAAACUCAGCCAUCGACAAUAAUGCCUUCAUCGGUGCUAGCUGCAGCACCACCACAUUGUCUACACAUGAGGAAACUCUUAAUAGAGGAUGUAGUUCAACAGAAGUUAAUUACAUGGAAAUCAUCCACCCAAUAACAAAUUACGCUACCCUAAAAGAUGUUUCCCGGUGUAAAUUCUGCACUGCAAAAAGAUUUGAAUAUGAGCCAUCAGCAUUUUGUUGUGGCAAUGAUAAACUAUUUUCCGUUUUAAAAUUUAUUUUAUUGCACCAAUGAAGAAAUUAAUUGUCAUAUUUUUAGGGAGUUAAAUUCCAUGUAAAAUAAAAAAGAAAAACUCUCACGGAAGAGUCUAUUUGGAUAAGAUAUUCUAAGAAAAUUAUAUUAGUACUAAGUAGAGGUGGCCCGUGCUUGCGCGGGCCCAACAUUGAAAGAUUUUUGUUAAUUAGAUAAAAACAUAUAGAAUGUAUGAGUCGGAUAUAUAUAUAUAUAUAUAUAUAUAUAUAUAUAUAUAUAUAUAUAUAAAUAAAUAGAGAGAGAGAGAUGUAAACAGUAUCAUCAAGCUCUUGAUGCUUCUGUUGCUCGGAAUUUUCCUGAUAAUGGUUGCAUUGCUUGCAUGAGCCACAAUACUGAUGCACUUUACUGUGUAAUACUUUUUUGCAAUAUGGUUGGCAACACCAUUUUGUUUAGAUGGUGUACACUUUUGGUGCUGAUAGCAUGGACUUUGCUGCAUUGUUAUAAAAAAUUGAUAGGUGCUUUUUGAAUGAUGCUGACUAAUAGUCAAAAUGCAGCAUUAUGUAAAUAUUGUACAUAUCCAACCUAAAUAACACAGCCAUGACAACGAACAAAACAACAGCCAACCAUAUUUUAUAUAUAUAUAAUAUAUCUAUCCAUCUCUCUCUAUCUAUAUAUAUAUAUAUAUCAAUAAUAUUUUAUAAUUA